Molecule: long non-coding RNA, 2098 nt
Organism: Gasterosteus aculeatus aculeatus (three-spined stickleback)
Lineage: Eukaryota; Metazoa; Chordata; Actinopteri; Perciformes; Gasterosteidae
Source: Ensembl
UGAACAGAUAAAACAAAUUUAUUUAACCUGUAUUUAUUGUCAUGUUUUGAUAAAAUGCGGUAUUAACAUAAUCCAGUUUUAUUAACAAUGGAGCUUUUUUAAGGGAUUUACUUCAGGUAACUCUCAUUACAGCAGCAUAAAGGUGAUAUAUAGAUGAAGUAUAAAUGUGGUUUAAUGUAUUUUUCAGUAGAAGAAAUACAGUAAGUGAAAUCAGCUGACAAGGCCCAUUUCAAAUUUCUAAUUAGUCUUCAGCUCAAAGUCGUCCUUCUGCGAGAGGAGGUUGUGGAAGAACUUCUCAGAGUACAGGAAGAAGUGUCUGUUCCGCUCCAGGUCCUGAGCAUUGAUAAUACGAGUCACCAAAGCUUGUUGUAAGGCCGGAGACUCACAGGGGUGAUGCUGGACUUUGUGAGUCACGUUCCUCCCCGGCUCGAUGACUAACAGCCCCUGAACAUCCACGUGCGUCGCAUUGUCGGGACACUCCGUGUUUACCACAACCCGGGCGGUGGUUUCAUUUCUUCUCUUUGGCACAUCGAGUCCAAAGUCCGUUUCGCGGCCUCUGCUAACGUCAGCACUCGAGUUGGCCGACGUCGUCCUGUUAAACGUAUCGGUCGAGUCACUGGCCAGGCUGCUAUUAAAAAUGCAUUUGCUUGUAUUGGUUCUGCUUAAUGUGUUAGUUUGUCCCGGUCCACCCGCCGGAGUCUCCUUGAUGUUGCUGUGCAGAUAGACGGUGUAGCCCUGGACCAGGCGGCUCAACGCCGUCUUAUAAGACAGACGCAGAGACUCGACGGAUCCCCGGGGCACAGACUUCAGGCGAACCUGUUGGAACAAGAUCAGACCGACUCAUCGGAUGAUCCUGAUGAAACGCCGCUCCCGCCAACCACUGCUGCAUAGACACCGAGCUCAUCCUCUUCCUCGUGGUCAUCCUCUCGUAGUGGUCGAUCAGCUCCAGAUUCAGCCAGUCGUCGUGAAGCUCCGUGGCCUCGGCCAUCUUCUCGUGGUCGUUGGCGAUGCCGGGGAUGAGGCGCAGGUAGCUGUGGACAAUCCGGCCAAUUCUCGAAGCACUGCUGAUGCCAAAGAUCCUCCUGGGCUGGGGUCUGGGAGCGGGUCGGUUCCCCCCAGUGGAUCCUUGAGCUCGGACCUAGUGCGAUAGCAUGCAUCUGGAAUUCUGAGCUUCAGUUCCAGUUCAGCAUCAUGUGAUACAGUUCAAUUAUAUAUGAUGUAAAAAUAUAUACGGAUUGGCCUAUUUCCUAAUAAGGAAUUAGGAUUUUUUAUGUUGCAGCUGUUUUAAGCCUAAUUUGACUUGAUGCAGCUUUUUUUUUAUCCUGCAGAGGAGAGGAAAUAAUAAUAUCUUACAGACAAUAUAUAUAUAUAUAUAUAUAUAUAUGUAUAGUUUUAAAACUUACUUGUUGGGCAACCUGGUCAAAAAGCAAAGACAGAGCCAGAGCAACCACCCCGACCCCUCCACCGGUGACCCGGGCACUGCCUCCCAGCUCUCUGCUCAAGUUGAGGCCGAAUGCGGCCUGCAGCUCCCCGCUCAUGCUGCGCCGCGAGGAGGCGUGUUGGUGCUGCAGAGCGGCCGAGGAGUCCAGCGAGAGGAAGGUGGUGAGGACGGGAUCCAAGGAGAUAUCGGGGACGACGCCGGCGUCUCGAGCCACGGAGAAGAGCUCCUGGACUGUGGCUCGAGACGGAAGACACAGAGAGCGACCCGUCAGGAUCAUGGCUGCGGGUCGUCUGGCUGUCUGCUCGUUAUCCGUGUCUCUGACCCCUGGAGUGUUUAUUUGCCCCCCGGAAAGAUCGUCACCCAACAUGAAGCUAUUCUAGAGCUGUAGGUGGACAAAAACACAUAGUAGGGGAGGAAGUAUUCAGGAAGAAGAAAAGAAAGAAGAAGAAAAGGCAUACCGUUAAAUGAAAUUCAAUUAAUAAAGUAAAGUGCCUCGAAUAUGCUCCAAGAGUGAAAGCCCUUAAGUGUGGCUCAGCAGCAUUAAACACUGUCUAAUGAAAAAUAGAUAUGCAACACAAAUAUUGCAGCAGCUAUAGGCUUUAAUAACCUGUUUGAACAGAUACAUUUGUCUGAAAGCACAGCUGUUUUUCUAAUCAG